GCAAGGUUGGAACUCAAAGGAAUUGACGGGGGCCUAAAACUAGUGGUGGGGUAUGUGGUUUAAUGCGAUAAUCCGCGCAAAAUCUUACCAAUCUUUGACAUAAGGAAAUUUCGAUUUAUUUAAUCUAAAUAAAUAAAAUAAAUUUUUUUACAGGUGUUGCACGACUGUCAUCAGCUCGUGUCGUGAGACUUUUGGUUAAGUCCUUUAACGAGCGCAACUCUUAUCUUUUAAUAUACUAAUCUACGAUUUUUAAAAACGAACUUAUUUUUAAAAUUGCUUUAAAGAUACGGUCAAUGAUAAAUUAAAGAAGGUGAGAACUAAGCCAAGUCAAUGUGACCCUUAUAGAUUCGGGCUACACACGUGCUACAAUGAAAACUACAAAAAGUUACAAAAAGUUUUUCGUAAAUCUUCAAAAGUUUUCCCAGUUCGGAUUGUAAACUGAAACUCGUUUACAUAAAGUUGGAAUCACUAGUAAUCGCAAAUCAGCAUGUUGCGGUGAAUAUGUAAAUUGGCCUUGU
RNAcentral lists this ribosomal RNA (518 nucleotides) under uncultured phototrophic eukaryote. RNAcentral describes it as "bacterial SSU rRNA". It matches the Rfam family "Bacterial small subunit ribosomal RNA", at positions 888 to 1384 of the family's 1533-position model. The record is from RNAcentral.